Molecule: ribosomal RNA, 462 nt
Filed under: uncultured bacterium
Lineage: Bacteria
Description: partial 16S ribosomal RNA
Rfam family: Bacterial small subunit ribosomal RNA
Source: RNAcentral
UGGGGAAUAUUGCACAAUGGGCGAAAGCCUGAUGCAGCGACGCCGCGUGCGGGAUGAAGGCCUUCGGGUUGUAAACCGCUUUUGAUUGGGAGCAAGCGAGAGUGAGUGUACCUUUCGAAUAAGCACCGGCUAACUACGUGCCAGCAGCCGCGGUAAUACGUAGGGUGCAAGCGUUAUCCGGAAUUAUUGGGCGUAAAGAGCUCGUAGGCGGUUUGUCGCGUCUGGUGUGAAAGUCCAUCGCUUAACGGUGGAUCUGCGCCGGGUACGGGCAGGCUAGAGUGCGACAGGGGAGACUGGAAUUCCCGGUGUAACGGUGGAAUGUGUAGAUAUCGGGAAGAACACCAAUGGCGAAGGCAGGUCUCUGGGUCGUCACUGACGCUGAGGAGCGAAAGCGUGGGGAGCGAACAGGAUUAGAUACCCUGGUAGUCCACGCCGUAAACGGUGGAUGCUGGAUGUGGGGCC